This 492-nucleotide ribosomal RNA is filed under the name uncultured bacterium. RNAcentral describes it as "partial 16S ribosomal RNA". It matches the Rfam family "Bacterial small subunit ribosomal RNA", at positions 30 to 507 of the family's 1533-position model. The record is from RNAcentral.
AUUGAACGCUGGCGGUAGGCCUAACACAUGCAAGUCGAACGGCAGCACAGUAAGAGCUUGCUCUUACGGGUGGCGAGUGGCGGACGGGUGAGGAAUACAUCGGAAUCUACUUUUUCGUGGGGGCUAACGUAGGGAAACUUACGCCAAUACCGCAUACGACCUACGGGUGAAAGCAGGGGAUCUUCGGACCUUGCGCGAUUCAAUGAGCCGAUGUCGGAUUAGCUAGUUGGCGGGGUAAAGGCCCACCAAGGCGACGAUCCGUAGCUGGUCUGAGAGGAUGAUCAGCCACACUGGAACUGAGACACGGUCCAGACUCCUACGGGAGGCAGCAGUGGGGAAUAUUGGACAAUGGGCGCAAGCCUGAUCCAGCCAUACCGCGUGGGUGAAGAAGGCCUUCGGGUUGUAAAGCCCUUUUGUUGGGAAAGAAAAGCAGCAGGUUAAUACCUCGCUGUUCUGACGGUACCAACAGAAUAAGCACCGGCUAACUUCGUG